Brassica oleracea var. oleracea is the source of this 594-nucleotide long non-coding RNA. RefSeq lists it as uncharacterized. The transcript is spliced from 2 exons. NCBI's taxonomy places the organism in Eukaryota, Viridiplantae, Streptophyta, Magnoliopsida, Brassicales, Brassicaceae. The record is from RefSeq and is a predicted model, not a curated record.
AAAUAAUCAAAACCUCACUAGGAGGAUGGGUGAUCGACAUGAUCGUACUUUGGUUAUGCAAUGAGAAUGAAACUGUGCAUUUUAGCUUUCUGACUAGCUAGCAACUUGCAUGGAAGAAACAGCUAUGAUGAUACAUAGACCGAGCAAGAUGAGAAUACAUGUAGAAAGAUUAGAGACAAACGUUGUAAUAAAUGGAUCCAUUGGACUCUGGUAUCGUUCCUGCCGUGAAAUGCCAUUCAAAGACAAAGGAAUGCCUGAGCAAAACGUGCCAAAGCUGCUCAACGAUUCUUGGGUGGGAGAGAGAGAGAGAGAGAGGAUAGACUGAAGAAUUUGUUAAUGCCAUUCGACAGGAUCAUAUAAAAAAACAUCCUGUUUUUAGUUGCAGAGUUGCGAGUUGUGAUCAAUCAGUUGAGACUUUGCUAAAAUAAAAUAUGACAUCAUUCACUGGACUGUUUACAAUUACAUAAACACGAAACCAAGCCAAAACAAUACUACUAAACAUUUGGCAUUAGCUGAACUAUAUAGACAACAAAAACAAAAAUGAGUCUAAGCUUCAUUCUUUCAUCCCACUUUUGAACCUAAUUGUUAAAAAAA